UACAGAGGGUGCGAGCGUUGUUCGGAAUUAUUGGGCGUAAAGGGCGCGUAGGCGGUGCGGUAAGUCACCUGUGAAAUCUCCUGGCUCAACUGGGAGCUUGCAGGCGAAACUGCCGUGCUGGAGUGUGGGAGAGGUGCGUGGAAUUCCUGGUGUAGCGGUGAAAUGCGUAGAUAUCGGGAGGAACACCUGUGGCGAAAGCGGCGCACUGGACCAUAACUGACGCUGAGGCGCGAAAGCGUGGGGAGCGAACCGG
This 253-nucleotide ribosomal RNA is filed under the name uncultured bacterium. Its description in RNAcentral is "partial 16S ribosomal RNA". It matches the Rfam family "Bacterial small subunit ribosomal RNA", at positions 524 to 776 of the family's 1533-position model. The record is from RNAcentral.